GACGAACGCUGGCGGCGUGCUUAACACAUGCAAGUCGAACGGAAAGGCCCUGCUUUUGUGGGGUGCUCGAGUGGCGAACGGGUGAGUAACACGUGAGUAACCUGCCCUUGACUUUGGGAUAACUUCAGGAAACUGGGGCUAAUACCGGAUAGGAGCUCCUGCUGCAUGGUGGGGGUUGGAAAGUUUCGGCGGUUGGGGAUGGACUCGCGGCUUAUCAGCUUGUUGGUGGGGUAGGGGCUUACCAAGGCUUUGACGGGUAGCCGGCCUGAGAGGGUGACCGGCCACAUUGGGACUGGGAUACGGCCCAGACUCCUACGGGAGGCAGCAGUGGGGAAUAUUGCACAAUGGGCGGAAGCCUGAUGCAGCAACGCCGCGUGCGGGAUGACGGCCUUCGGGUUGUAAACCGCUUUCGCCUGUGACGAAGCGUGAGUGACGGUAAUGGGUAAAGAAGCACCGGCUAACUACGUG
RNAcentral lists this ribosomal RNA (468 nucleotides) under uncultured bacterium. RNAcentral's name for it is "partial 16S ribosomal RNA". It matches the Rfam family "Bacterial small subunit ribosomal RNA", at positions 28 to 507 of the family's 1533-position model. The record is from RNAcentral.